UUUGUACUAGGCUAAGGAAUU
RNAcentral lists this microRNA (21 nucleotides) under Pristionchus pacificus. RNAcentral's name for it is "ppc-miR-239". Its record names the gene ppc-miR-239. The record is from miRBase by way of RNAcentral. Lineage: Eukaryota; Metazoa; Nematoda; Chromadorea; Rhabditida; Neodiplogasteridae.